RNAcentral lists this long non-coding RNA (617 nucleotides) under Homo sapiens (human). RNAcentral's name for it is "non-protein coding lnc-FAR2-1:2". The record is from RNAcentral. Lineage: Eukaryota; Metazoa; Chordata; Mammalia; Primates; Hominidae.
GAUGCUACUACCUGGAGGGACUCACCUUUACCAACACCAAGGGAGCCAGCCCUGAGAGUUCAUGCCAAGUCAUCUUUCUCCUGCUUUGUUCCCUGGAACUGAUAAACUGCUGCUUCGAAAAACCAGAAGGCCUUGCCUCUAUUUUGUUUUCAGUUCUACUCCCUAAGAGCCUCAGCAUAAAUAUGAGAGGAGAUAAAGGGAAAGUUAAGAAACUUCUGUUAGCAUUCUGAUGUUCAAACCCAAGUCUUGAUCUUCCUGUUGAGGGCCAUCCAAGAGCACCAUGAUGAAGUGGAAAGAGAUUGUUCACAAGAAUGAUCACUUACAGAAGACUGAGCCCAAGGCCCUUGCUGAUGGAUUCCCAGACUUAUAUGCAUCCGAGAUUGAAGAACUUAAACAUCUUGCCCUUGCCAUGACCACAAAUCAGAGAGUAAUAAAAUUUAAUGUCCAUGGACUUUGACCUUCAAAAGACCAAAGACAGGCUGUUUCAAGAACGCGGUCUUGAACAAUUUGUUGACAUCUUCACAAAAGAAAAAUAAUUCUCUAAAUCAGUAACUGAGUCUCCGGAAGGUUUCUUCUUGGAAACCCCCACAUAGUCUCAUGAGCACCUACAAUGACAG